MicroRNA precursor from Neotoma lepida (desert woodrat), 72 nucleotides. It matches the Rfam family "mir-344 microRNA precursor family". NCBI's taxonomy places the organism in Eukaryota, Metazoa, Chordata, Mammalia, Rodentia, Cricetidae. The record is from Rfam.
UUUCCAGUCAGGCUCCUGGCUUGAGUCCAGCUCUCAGCUACCUCCAGGCUCUAGCCAAGACCUGACUACAAC